RNAcentral lists this ribosomal RNA (548 nucleotides) under Bdellovibrionales bacterium. RNAcentral describes it as "partial 23S ribosomal RNA". It matches the Rfam family "Bacterial large subunit ribosomal RNA", at positions 1162 to 1626 of the family's 2925-position model. The record is from RNAcentral. Lineage: Bacteria; Pseudomonadati; Bdellovibrionota; Bdellovibrionia; Bdellovibrionales.
CGCCUAAAAUUCAACGGGGCUCAAGUCACGCGCCGAAGCUACGGGUACUCCCAUUUCGAGGAGUGCGGUAGGCGAGCAUUGUCUGUACGGUGAAGACGUACGGUAACGAGCGUUGGAGAGCAGACAAGAGCUGAUGUUGGCGUGAGUAGCGAUAAAGAGAGUGAAAAACUCUCUCGCCGUAAACCCAAGGGUUCCUGGGUAAAGAUAAUCUGCUCAGGGUUAGUCGGUCCCUAAGCCGAGGCCGAAAGGCGUAGGCGAUGGGAAGCAGGCGAACAUUCCUGCACCGGCACGGAUGGUUUCACGAGGAGGGACGGAGGAGGAUAGUCGAGCGUCCAUGAGGAUUGGGUGUUCAAGCCAGUAGGCUGGAGAUGUAGGAGGCAAUGGCCACAAACGCAUCUUCGAGGCCGAGAGGUGAUGAGGCGGGCUCUCCGGAGCCUCCAACUCGAUAAUUCCACGCUUCCAGGAAAAGCUUCGCGUGAAAUUAUCGAGGCGGGCUCUCCGGAGCCUCCAACUCGAUAAUUCCACGCUUCCAGGAAAAGCUUCGCGUG